AGAUUGAACGCUGGCGGCAGGCCUAACACACGCAAGUCGAGCGGUAGAGAGGUGCUUACACCUCUUGAGAGCGGCGGACGGGUGAGUAAUGCCUAGGAAUCUGCCUAGUGGUGGGGGAUAACGUUCGGAAACGGACGCUAAUACCGCAUACGUCCUACGGGAGAAAGCGGGGGACCUUCGGGCCUCGCGCCAUUAGAUGAGCCUAGGUCGGAUUAGCUAGUUGGUGAGGUAAUGGCUCACCAAGGCGACGAUCCAUAACUGGUCUGAGAGGAUGAUCAGUCACACUGGAACUGAGACACGGUCCAGACUCCUACGGGAGGCAGCAGUGGGAAUAUUGGACAAUGGGCGAAAGCCUGAUCCAGCCAUGCCGCGUGUGUGAAGAAGGUCUUCGGAUUGUAAAGCACUUUAAGUUGGAGAAGGCAGUUACCUAAUACGUAUCUGUUUUGACGUUACGACAGAAUAAGCACGGCUAACUCUAGUGCCAGCAAGCCGUA
Molecule: ribosomal RNA, 494 nt
Filed under: uncultured soil bacterium
Lineage: Bacteria
Description: bacterial SSU rRNA
Rfam family: Bacterial small subunit ribosomal RNA
Source: RNAcentral